CCAACGGCCCUCUUUAGGGCCACAAAUCUCAAUAAUCCAAACUCG
Caenorhabditis remanei is the source of this 45-nucleotide non-coding RNA. Lineage: Eukaryota; Metazoa; Nematoda; Chromadorea; Rhabditida; Rhabditidae. The record is from Rfam.